Molecule: ribosomal RNA, 45 nt
Filed under: Ageratum conyzoides
Lineage: Eukaryota; Viridiplantae; Streptophyta; Magnoliopsida; Asterales; Asteraceae
Description: partial 18S ribosomal RNA
Source: RNAcentral
CAAAGGAACAAGGUUUCCGUAGGUGAACCUGCGGAAGGAUCAUUG